UGCUUCUCAUGAGCUCCUCUCUGUCAGUCCAGUGGCGGUGUAUGGAUUCGCACGAGAAGUAGAUUGAAAUCGCAGUUAAACCGGUGGUUCCACCAUAUUGGGAUGUACCCAUGUCUGAUGUGAGACAUGA
This is a small nucleolar RNA of Carassius auratus (goldfish), 130 nucleotides long. Its record names the gene SNORA75. It matches the Rfam family "Small nucleolar RNA SNORA75". Rfam says of the family: U23 belongs to the H/ACA class of snoRNAs. snoRNAs bind a number of proteins (including dyskerin, Gar1p and Nop10p in the case of the H/ACA class) to form snoRNP complexes. This class are thought to guide the sites of modification of uridines to pseudouridines by forming direct base pairing interactions with substrate RNAs. The record is from Ensembl. NCBI's taxonomy places the organism in Eukaryota, Metazoa, Chordata, Actinopteri, Cypriniformes, Cyprinidae.